This 253-nucleotide ribosomal RNA is filed under the name uncultured bacterium. RNAcentral describes it as "partial 16S ribosomal RNA". It matches the Rfam family "Bacterial small subunit ribosomal RNA", at positions 524 to 776 of the family's 1533-position model. The record is from RNAcentral.
UACGUAGGGUGCAAGCGUUAAUCGGAAUUACUGGGCGUAAAGCGUGCGCAGGCGGUUUUGUAAGUCUGACGUGAAAUCCCCGGGCUCAACCUGGGAAUUGCGUUGGAGACUGCAAGUCUGGAGUCUGGCAGAGGGGGGUAGAAUUCCACGUGUAGCAGUGAAAUGCGUAGAGAUGUGGAGGAACACCGAUGGCGAAGGCAGCCCCCUGGGUCAAGACUGACGCUCAUGCACGAAAGCGUGGGGAGCAAACAGG